AGUCUCGCAGUUUUAGGAACGUCAGAUUGCAAAUCUGGAGGAGCAGCGUCACACCCGCCGAGACUU
Molecule: transfer RNA, 66 nt
Filed under: Stemonosudis rothschildi (Rothschild's barracudina)
Lineage: Eukaryota; Metazoa; Chordata; Actinopteri; Aulopiformes; Paralepididae
Description: tRNA-Cys
Source: RNAcentral